Molecule: ribosomal RNA, 226 nt
Filed under: Anaptychia ciliaris
Lineage: Eukaryota; Fungi; Ascomycota; Lecanoromycetes; Caliciales; Physciaceae
Description: partial 18S ribosomal RNA
Source: RNAcentral
CAAGGUUCGCCUACGAUCGCAUUGUCGCUGCAAUGCGCGGUUUGCAUCCCCGAGGUGCAGGCAACACCGUUGAAAUGCUGAGCGUGUCGGCGAAAGCCUUCCGAUCAGCAGCCAGCGCGCCCGCGCCCGGCUCACAGAUCAUCCGACGGUGACCUCUCGGGGUUAAGAUAUGAUCGAUCCCGGCCCUCGCGGGCUUUGGAGAAACGGAACCUGCGGAAGGAUCAUU